This 465-nucleotide ribosomal RNA is filed under the name Chloroflexota bacterium. RNAcentral describes it as "bacterial SSU rRNA". It matches the Rfam family "Bacterial small subunit ribosomal RNA", at positions 420 to 901 of the family's 1533-position model. The record is from RNAcentral. Lineage: Bacteria; Bacillati; Chloroflexota.
GGGUUGUAAACCGCUUUUCGGGGGGAAGAGGAAGGACGGUACCCCCGGAAAAAGUCUCGGCUAACUACGUGCCAGCAGCCGCGGUAAAACGUAGGAGGCAAACGUUAUCCGGAUUUACUGGGUGUAAAGCGCGUGCAGGCGGUUUCGUAAGUCGUGUGUGAAAGCGCUCAGGCUCAACCGGGCGAGGCCAUGCGAAACUGCGGAACUGGAGGCAGGUAGAGGCGUGUGGAAUUCCGGGUGUAGUGGUGAAAUGCGUAGAUAUCCGGAGGAACACCAGUGGCGAAGGCGACACGCUGGGCCUGACCUGACGCUAAGGCGCGAAAGCAUGGGGAGCGAACGGGAUUAGAAACCCCGGUAGUCCAUGCCGUAAACGAUGCGUACUAGGUGUUGCGGUGUCAAAACUGCAGUGCCGGAGCCAACGUGAUAAGUACGCCACCUGGGGACUACGGCCGCAAGGUUAAAACU